ACCCCAUGAUAUUAAGCCGGCAGUUGCUUUGAAACCCCCGAGCUCCUGUGACUUUGAUUGGGAACAGUAAUGCUUCUGAUGUGUGUAUGUUGUGCAGGCUCCUCCGCAGGCUCAACAAAGAAAUUUCAGUCGACA
This is a small nucleolar RNA of Drosophila bipectinata, 135 nucleotides long. RefSeq annotates it as small nucleolar RNA snoR639/H1. Lineage: Eukaryota; Metazoa; Arthropoda; Insecta; Diptera; Drosophilidae. The record is from RefSeq and is a predicted model, not a curated record.